GGGGGCGUUUUGGUUUCGACGGGUUUAUUCGGUCUUUUAGCUGCAUGUGGAGGAUUUCUGGUUACCUCCUAAAUCAUCCGGGAAAAACCUUAAAUGCCGAUUACGGCUACGCUGCUGCCGCUUAAUUAACGGCAGCUGUCUCCUAACAGGCGUGUUCGCCGCCAGUUAACGAGAUAUCAUUCUUUGCGGACUGCUCCAAUACUGUGUCUGACGGCAUUGGUUAAGAUUCCUUCGGGAAACAGACUGGUUCAAUGGAACUGGGGCUGAUCACGAACAUUGAAUAAGACUUAGAGUUCAGCCUAAACAUGUAGACGCUGAUUGUACGAUUUAUUCGGACGGGAGUUCGAUUCUCCCCGCCUCCACAA
This 365-nucleotide transfer-messenger RNA is filed under the name Fidelibacterota bacterium. It matches the Rfam family "transfer-messenger RNA". From Rfam's summary of the family: Bacterial tmRNA, also known as 10Sa RNA or SsrA, is named for its dual tRNA and mRNA-like properties. The record is from RNAcentral. Lineage: Bacteria; Pseudomonadati; Fidelibacterota.